GAAAUGCGAUAAGUAAGGUGAAUUGCAGAAUUCAGUGAAUCAUCGAAUCUUUGAACGCACCUUGCGCUCCUUGGUAUUCCUUGGAGCAUGCCUGUUUGAGUAUCAUGAAAUCUUCAAAGUAAAUCUUUUGUUAACUCAAUUGGUUUCUACUUUGGUAUUGGAGGUCUUUGCAGCUUCACACCUGCUCCUCUUUGUUCAUUAGCUGGAUCUCAGUGUUAUGCUUGGUUCCACUCGGCGUGAUAAGUUAUCUAUCGCUGAGGACACUGUAAAAGGUGGCCAAGGUAAAUGCAGAUGAACCGCUUCUAAUAGUCCAUUGACUUGGACAAUACUUUUAUGAUCUGAUCUCAAAUCAGGUAGGACUACCCGCUGAACUUAAGC
This 378-nucleotide unclassified non-coding RNA is filed under the name plant metagenome. RNAcentral's name for it is "partial contains 5.8S ribosomal RNA, internal transcribed spacer 2, and large subunit ribosomal RNA". The stretch from base 1 to 105 matches the Rfam family "5.8S ribosomal RNA", at positions 50 to 154 of the family's 154-position model. The record is from RNAcentral.